CGGCCUUUUCAGGUUGAUGC
This 20-nucleotide non-coding RNA is filed under the name Arabidopsis thaliana (thale cress). Lineage: Eukaryota; Viridiplantae; Streptophyta; Magnoliopsida; Brassicales; Brassicaceae. The record is from RNAcentral.